AAAAUUUGCUUUCCAUCCAACUCUUGAACGCAAAGAUCGGCGCCAUCAACAUUUUCAAAAUCGGCGAAAACUAGUCCAAGAGACAUCUUUUUUCCAUUUUUUUCCUCAAAUGGCAUAUAAAAUCCAUUUUCCUUAACCUUUCCAAUUUUAGCAAGGACUUUUGAGCUCAAAAAACGGAAGAAAUCUUGCUGCUUAGCUUCUUC
Non-coding RNA from Schizosaccharomyces pombe (fission yeast), 203 nucleotides. NCBI's taxonomy places the organism in Eukaryota, Fungi, Ascomycota, Schizosaccharomycetes, Schizosaccharomycetales, Schizosaccharomycetaceae. The record is from the annotation of a GenBank genome assembly.